AUUGAACGCUGGCGGCAGGCUUAACACAUGCAAGUCGAGCGAGCGGCGGACGGGUGAGUAAUGUCUGGGAAACUGCCUGAUGGAGGGGGAUAACUACUGGAAACGGUAGCUAAUACCGCAUACCAUCAGAUGUGCCCAGAUGGGAUGAGCUAGUAGGUGGGGUAAUGGCUCACCUAGGCGACGAUCCCUAGCUGGUCUGACAGGGUGACCAGCAAAAUUGGAACUGUGACACGGUCCAGACUCCUAGGGAGGGCAGCAGUGGGGAGUAUUGCACAAGGGUCGAAAGCCUGAUGCAGCCAUGCCGCGUGUGUGAAGAAGGCCUUCGGGUUGUAAAGCACUUUCAGCGAGGAGGCGUUACUCGCAGAAGAAGCACCGGCUAACUCCGUGCCAGCAGCCGCGGUAAUUC
Molecule: ribosomal RNA, 406 nt
Filed under: uncultured bacterium
Lineage: Bacteria
Description: partial 16S ribosomal RNA
Rfam family: Bacterial small subunit ribosomal RNA
Source: RNAcentral